RNAcentral lists this ribosomal RNA (253 nucleotides) under uncultured bacterium. RNAcentral's name for it is "partial 16S ribosomal RNA". It matches the Rfam family "Bacterial small subunit ribosomal RNA", at positions 524 to 776 of the family's 1533-position model. The record is from RNAcentral.
UACGUAGGGGGCAAGCGUUGUCCGGAUUUAUUGGGCGUAAAGAGCGCGUAGGCGGCUUGACAAGUCUGCUGUGAAAACUCGAGGCUCAACCUCGAGCUGUCGGUGGAAACUGUCUGGCUAGAGUCCGGAAGAGGAGAGUGGAAUUCCUGGUGUAGCGGUGAAAUGCGCAGAUAUCAGGAAGAACACCUAUGGCGAAGGCAGCUCUCUGGGACGGUACUGACGCUGAGACGCGAAAGCGUGGGGAGCAAACAGG